RNAcentral lists this ribosomal RNA (169 nucleotides) under uncultured Clostridium sp. RNAcentral describes it as "partial 16S ribosomal RNA". It matches the Rfam family "Bacterial small subunit ribosomal RNA", at positions 338 to 524 of the family's 1533-position model. The record is from RNAcentral. Lineage: Bacteria; Bacillati; Bacillota; Clostridia; Eubacteriales; Clostridiaceae. RNAcentral also lists the same sequence under 1 other name.
CCUACGGGAGGCAGCAGUGGGGAAUAUUGCACAAUGGGCGAAAGCCUGAUGCAGCAACGCCGCGUGAGUGAAGAAGGCCUUCGGGUUGUAAAGCUCUGUCUUUUGGGACGAUAAUGACGGUACCAAAGGAGGAAGCCACGGCUAACUACGUGCCAGCAGCCGCGGUAAU